Molecule: ribosomal RNA, 549 nt
Filed under: uncultured archaeon
Lineage: Archaea
Description: bacterial SSU rRNA
Rfam family: Archaeal small subunit ribosomal RNA
Source: RNAcentral
CGGGGUGCACCAGGCGCGAAAACUUUGCAAUGCGGGAAACCGUGGCAAGGGAACUCUGAGUGCCCGUUAAAUCGGGCUGUCCAUCGGUUUAAAUAACCGGUGAAGAAAGGGCCGGGCAAGACCGGUGCCAGCCGCCGCGGUAAUACCGGCGGCUCGAGUGGUGGCCACUAUUACUGGGCUUAAAGCGUUCGUAGCUGGUCUGUUAAGUCUCUGGGGAAAUCUUCCGGCUUAACCGGAAGGCGUCUCAGGGAUACUGGCAGACUAGGGACCGGGAGAGGUGAGAGGUACUCCAGGGGUAGGAGUGAAAUCCUGUAAUCCUUGGGGGACCACCUGUGGCGAAGGCGUCUCACCAGAACGGCUCCGACAGUGAGGGACGAAAGCUGGGGGAGCAAACCGGAUUAGAUACCCGGGUAGUCCCAGCUGUAAACGAUGCGCGUUAGGUGUAUCGGUGACCACGAGUCACCGAGGUGCCGAAGAGAAAUCGUGAAACGUGCCGCCUGGGAAGUACGGUCGCAAAGCGGAAACUUAAAGGAAUUGGCGGGGGAGCAC